This 1542-nucleotide ribosomal RNA is filed under the name Escherichia coli. Its description in RNAcentral is "partial 23S ribosomal RNA". It matches the Rfam family "Bacterial large subunit ribosomal RNA", at positions 609 to 2136 of the family's 2925-position model. The record is from RNAcentral. Lineage: Bacteria; Pseudomonadati; Pseudomonadota; Gammaproteobacteria; Enterobacterales; Enterobacteriaceae.
UGUAUAAUGGGUCAGCGACUUAUAUUCUGUAGCAAGGUUAACCGAAUAGGGGAGCCGAAGGGAAACCGAGUCUUAACUGGGCGUUAAGUUGCAGGGUAUAGACCCGAAACCCGGUGAUCUAGCCAUGGGCAGGUUGAAGGUUGGGUAACACUAACUGGAGGACCGAACCGACUAAUGUUGAAAAAUUAGCGGAUGACUUGUGGCUGGGGGUGAAAGGCCAAUCAAACCGGGAGAUAGCUGGUUCUCCCCGAAAGCUAUUUAGGUAGCGCCUCGUGAAUUCAUCUCCGGGGGUAGAGCACUGUUUCGGCAAGGGGGUCAUCCCGACUUACCAACCCGAUGCAAACUGCGAAUACCGGAGAAUGUUAUCACGGGAGACACACGGCGGGUGCUAACGUCCGUCGUGAAGAGGGAAACAACCCAGACCGCCAGCUAAGGUCCCAAAGUCAUGGUUAAGUGGGAAACGAUGUGGGAAGGCCCAGACAGCCAGGAUGUUGGCUUAGAAGCAGCCAUCAUUUAAAGAAAGCGUAAUAGCUCACUGGUCGAGUCGGCCUGCGCGGAAGAUGUAACGGGGCUAAACCAUGCACCGAAGCUGCGGCAGCGACGCUUAUGCGUUGUUGGGUAGGGGAGCGUUCUGUAAGCCUGUGAAGGUGUACUGUGAGGUAUGCUGGAGGUAUCAGAAGUGCGAAUGCUGACAUAAGUAACGAUAAAGCGGGUGAAAAGCCCGCUCGCCGGAAGACCAAGGGUUCCUGUCCAACGUUAAUCGGGGCAGGGUGAGUCGACCCCUAAGGCGAGGCCGAAAGGCGUAGUCGAUGGGAAACAGGUUAAUAUUCCUGUACUUGGUGUUACUGCGAAGGGGGGACGGAGAAGGCUAUGUUGGCCGGGCGACGGUUGUCCCGGUUUAAGCGUGUAGGCUGGUUUUCCAGGCAAAUCCGGAAAAUCAAGGCUGAGGCGUGAUGACGAGGCACUACGGUGCUGAAGCAACAAAUGCCCUGCUUCCAGGAAAAGCCUCUAAGCAUCAGGUAACAUCAAAUCGUACCCCAAACCGACACAGGUGGUCAGGUAGAGAAUACCAAGGCGCUUGAGAGAACUCGGGUGAAGGAACUAGGCAAAAUGGUGCCGUAACUUCGGGAGAAGGCACGCUGAUAUGUAGGUGAAGCGACUUGCUCGUGGAGCUGAAAUCAGUCGAAGAUACCAGCUGGCUGCAACUGUUUAUUAAAAACACAGCACUGUGCAAACACGAAAGUGGACGUAUACGGUGUGACGCCUGCCCGGUGCCGGAAGGUUAAUUGAUGGGGUUAGCGCAAGCGAAGCUCUUGAUCGAAGCCCCGGUAAACGGCGGCCGUAACUAUAACGGUCCUAAGGUAGCGAAAUUCCUUGUCGGGUAAGUUCCGACCUGCACGAAUGGCGUAAUGAUGGCCAGGCUGUCUCCACCCGAGACUCAGUGAAAUUGAACUCGCUGUGAAGAUGCAGUGUACCCGCGGCAAGACGGAAAGACCCCGUGAACCUUUACUAUAGCUUGACACUGAACAUUGAGCCUUGAUG